AAUAGUGUCAUCUCCAUUUUACUGACGAAGAAAUGAAACGUCAAUGUGAUCUGACUUGAGUCACAGAGCUAGUAAAUGGGUCAUGUUUUCUAACUUUUGUUUCCAGUGUAUCCUGUGUUUUACCACAUCCCUUUGUUUCUUUAUUACCUCCAUCUGUUUAUACAUCCUUUAAUAUUUCCGUGAACUCACUUGAAUUAGCAAUCUUCUCCUCACCCCUCUUAGGAGGUAAAGAGGAAAAAACGAAGCUUUGAAGUUAUAGACAACUGGAUAUUGAUCUCUGUUCAUCUACUUCCCAGGUGCCUGUCUUUGGACAAAUACAACUUAUCUAAGCCUUAGAUUUGUCCUCUUUGAGAGGGGAGAUGAUAUAAUCAGUGUAAAGAUCAAUGCACAAAAAGGAGAGUUUCAUGAGAGCAGCAAUUUUUGUGUUUCAUUCACGGCUGUAUCAUGAGCACCCCAAACAAGGCUUGCUACCUGCCGGCAUUCAGCCAGUAUCUGUGGAAUGAAGGCAUGGAUGCAGGGAAGUCCCUAGCUGAGGGCCUGACUUAAUAAAAGGAGCGCAACGAAAGUGGCCAUUAUCUCUCACCUACUGGCCCAGCCUCUUUACCUGUCCCUCUCCUGCUUUACCCAGCCCUUCAGAUGGCACAUCCCGUUUUGCUGUAGGGCAUUGCUGGGGAUUUGCUUUCCUAGGUUUAGAGCGUUCGGGUUUAGGCCGAUCUUCAGGAGAGGAGCCUGGAGGUCUCUGAGCAGCCAGGAGAGGGCAGCAGCCUCGCCGCGGUGGCUCAGGCCGGGGCAGGGCACCCUCGCGGAGGAGAUUGCGGCGGACCCGGAAGUACUCGGCCACAGUCGCAUCCCCGGCACGCCGGCGGGGGAAAAAGGCUGAGCGCACCGCCCCCCAACCCAGCUGCACAUCCCCAGGAAUUCUCGGGCAGGAAUUGGAAUGCCUUACUAUUCGAUGACCCUCUUGAAUUAUUUAACACUUCCAUCAUUUUUUUGAAGUUUGAGAUGUGUAUGUAUAUAUUAUCAUCUGAACAAUAUUCAAAACCGUCUAUGAAAUGAUAUCACUCCUAUACCUCUUAUAGCUUUCCACAGCACCUGCUGAGAGCACUGUCCCAAGCAGAUCAAUGAGUAUGAAUGGGCCCAAGGAUAAAUCGGGUUGGAGCACACCUCUAGGUAAAAUGGAAAGGCAGCUGUGAUGCAGGGCCCCUACUUAUUUUUGUGAAUGUCUGCUCUAAGAGACCAAAGUUUGGGACAUUGUUUUUUAAAUUUCAGUAAUGUAUUUGCACUCUACUUCUUAUUUGGGGCAUUUUUUAAUAAUCAGGUUUUACAUCCUAGAAGGUAUCAGGCUAAAGUCAGAAUAAUGCUGUAACAGUCAUGAUUUUGUCCAUAUGGAAGAUAAUAUUUUAUAAUUUACUGUAAGAAAUACUAUAGGGUGCUAUUCAGCAUAUUUUUGGACUUUUUGGCUUUAGUAACAGAAUGAGCCAAUACUGUUCAAGAAUAGUUUACAGUAGAUGCUGGAAAGAACAUAGAACUUGGAGCCCAUUUAAAGGAAUUAAGGAAUUCUCCAAUAUGAUUCUUGCUGUGUAUUAGAGCCAGCAUUUCUUUCCCCUGUGAAAAUGAACCCAUGAUUUUAUAAUGUAUGUCAUUGGGAAAAUAUGAAUCAAUUCAUGGAAUUUGAAAUAAGAACAUAGGGAAAAAAUAGUUCACAAUUUUUUGAUGAUACAAACAGGUAAUAUCCUGUAUAAAUUAGCCUCUGAGAUAAAUGGUAAUACAAUCUGCUUUGUCACACUUUUCUUUACAUUGUCCUACAUAUCUGACUUGGAUUUCACCCAUAGGUAUGGUGCUAAUAUACCCACUAUUAUGGUUGCGGCAAAAAAAAAGCAGCUAAAAAAUGAUUUGCCCACAUUAACUUUGCUCAGUUUAUAAUUUGUAAAAAGAAUUUUACAACAUUCACUCAGGCAAGUUUUCAAUAGAAUAGAACAAGAAAGUAUGUCUAAAUUGGCUUUUAAGAUAAGUAUCAGGCUAGCGCCAAAAUAAAUUUUGACUGUGGCUUGCAAAUCAAUUCAUUUUACAUUCCUUCAUCCCCUCAGUAAGCCCUACGUAUGUGCUAGGUACGGUGUUAAGAGGUAAAGAUACAGAAAUAAAGACAGUCACUGCCCAGAAGCAGUUUCUUCAUGAGAUGGAGAGAGACAAGUUAACUAUGAGCACAGUAGGAUUAUGACAGAAUUGUUGCUUCAGGAGUUUCAGAAACACCUGGAAUCCUAGCUUAGAGUUGGAAUGAGCCUGGGAGCUUGGAAGGACUUCCAGAAAGUAGGGAAGUUAAGGGGACUAGCAUUCCAGGAAUAGGAAAGGUACGUGCAAAGGAAAGCAAGCCAGAAAGUCCUGAAUUUUGAGAAUCAAGGGUUGUCUUAUUCUUUAUCACACAUACCAAAUGACUAGUUUUGUCCCAAGUCCUAAUAAAGUCAUGAAACAGAAAACAUAGAGGAUUCUUACUUAUAUUAAAAAGUAAUUUCUAAAAAGCAUUACUUUCAAGAUUAACUUUUAAGUAUUUUGGCCUUUGUAGUAUAUCACGGACAAGAUAAACUGAGGGGAAGAAAGAGCUAACAGAGAUGCAGAGAAGCAGAAGGCAAGAGGGACAGAGUGUGAGAAAGCAUGUAGAGAAAGGAAGUGGUUUUACAGAGAUUUACAAGCGAUUUUGUUUCCUUUGCUCCUUUCUUCCUUCCUUUGCUCUGUUUCUCCUUUCCUGCCUCUUCCCUCUUUUCCUCCUUCCCUCCUAUCUCCCUUCCAUCCCCCCUCCUUUCUUUCUUAUUCCUAAAGAGAUCUCCAGAAACUUACAUGCUUUAGAAACCUGCUCCCACGGAUGGUGGAUGGGGUAAACCUUUUUCUGACCCUUCUCGUCACUUGCACUCCAGGCACCAGGAGAGGGAGAAGCCAACUGCCACCAUUUAGGGGAAGGAAGAGGCUGGAAAGAGGCGCUGAGAACUAUCUACUGGGAGAGGCAAGUGUCCACUUCUGAGAAGGAGGACGAAAUCAGGAGGAAGAAGGAAAAAGAAGAAAGGAUAGGGAGGAAAAAGGCAACACUUUGAAUCUUUACAUAAAACUGUAUAAUUCAUUUCUGCUUUGGGAAGAUGGAAAAGACUUUUUGUCCCUUUCUGAGAGACAGCAAGAAACUUUCAAGCAUGGGUAUGUGAUUUGGGGUAACUAUGUAACUAGAAAUACUGAUAGAAAAAUAAUCUUUCCUAUUCCUUUUAUUUUUUUAACAACAGCAACUAAAAAGAGCAUGAGGAAUUUGAAGACAGAGAUGAGUUGUGUAGCACCAACAUUUUCUUUCUGCCUGACCUUAAUAUCUGAUGAAUUAAAAGGUCAGUUUUAAGUGCACCACAUGAUAGGCUUCCAUCACUUUUAUUAGCCCAGGUGGUAAAUAUGAAGAAAAAUAAUUAUCGUUUAUUAAAUUAUCAUUCCGUGUAUUUUUUUUAAUCCAGCAGGAGGAGCUCUAACAUGCUUUACAGCCCAAAUUUUAAAAACAAAACUUUUUAAAGCUAACAGAGAAAAACAGAGAGGCAUUGUGCCUUGCAGGCUGCCAUGUCAGUGAACAAAUAUGUGACUAAGUCCAAUUAAAUGCUUCGUGAGAAGCCAAGGAAGCCAAGCGAUGAUACUCGUGGAGACAGAACGGCCCACAUUUCCUCCCUUCCACGAGCCUCCUCUUUCUGAUGCAGUUAAGCUGGGACUAGUCUGUAGUAUUAGCUCUUACAAAAGAGGGAGCAAAAGGAUGAUUUCUGGGCAAGACUAGAUGUAAUUCUUUCCCUCUGAAAGUGUCUUAUUGUUUCUAAACAAGUCUUUGACACUGGCUCAGGAAUUUAAAACACAUUUAAAAACAGAAUUUUCAUUGUUGGUUGAAGGCACUAUGAAACUUCUAAAGGUUCAGUUGCUUCUACUCAGUGGUUUGUCAGAGGGUUUUUUUUAAAUGAGAGAAAUGCUGUGUUUGUAAAAAUUGGUGCUAAAAGGGUAACGAAUCAUACGUCCCCUGGGCCAUGUAAAGAGUCUGCAGAAAGAAUUAGAGCGUUCUAACACACAUGCUAACACACACACACACACACACACAAACUGGAACUCAAAGAAUUUACUCAGGAACAGUGAGGAGUGUAUGAAUUUAACAGUUAUGGGAUUUUUAGGGUAAGCCUUUCCAUUUUGGACAGUGUUGUGGGAGUGGAAUGGAUGAGUGGGCAUAUACGAUGAUCAGAAUUACUUAACCUGAAGGAAAUUUUCAACCAAUCCAUUUUAAUCUCUUGCCAACAAGAAGUCAAACUUUUGUUUUACACCUUAAUGGUAUGCUCACAUUUCAAAUUUUUAUACAGGCUCCUACAGAAACUUUAACUAGACCAAUUCAGACCAAAGUCACUAAAUAAAGCUAGUCUAGACGGAAAAUCUAUGAAAACCGUAUGUCUUUUAGGCAUCUGUCUUACAAAAACUACCAUCAUCCCAGAGAAAUUGUUCACAAAAUAUGCUUUUAGGAAAACACUGCUGUACUGACCAUGGAGGGCUGUACUUAAGAAGACGGCUGGACUCGGAAAGAAUAAAGCCAAAAUGUUUAUAAAUGAAAGGCUCUCAUUUUCACAUACAUCUAACUGCCUGUAAACAUUACUGAAAGGCUGGGCCAAGCAGAUAUCAUUUAUCUUACCAUUAUUCUAGAAGCGAUCAAAAAAAUUUACAGUUUUGUUCCUCCUCACUACUACAGAACAUUAGACCAGGGGAUCUCAAAGCAAUUCUGUUCUCACCCACAGAAAACUGUUUUGAAUAAUGUUGUAAGUGGAUGAGGCCAAUAAACCAGAACAUUUUCUUCUGAUUAUUACCUCAUCCUGCUGGCCUGCCAAACACAGCUAGCAGGCAGGUGUCCGAUAUAAGUUACUAGAGGAAGACUGUUCUGUAUAAUUGGUGUAGGGAUCAUCUGAGAGACAAGGGAAAUCAGAAGGACUAGGGUACAGAGGAAGGGUGCAAUGAGAAUGCAGUAAAGAGGAAUAUUUUAAAAGUUUGCUUUUCCAAUUCAGCAUUGCUUUCUGAACUAAACACAAUGGUCAGUGCUACCUUCAGUAUUCUAGGUAUAUAAUGUUUCACCUUAAGAUGCAUUUUAAUUUUAAUAAGUGGUAAGACAUCCACAGAAAAAAAUAUAAAUGCAAACUUUAGUGACAAAAAUAACAUUCUAACUGAAAACUAAAUAGCAAUGGAGCCUAUGAAAGUAUUUAUGAAUUGCAAAGAUUACUUGUAAUCCUCUAGAAUAUUUUACUGAAACUUAUUUCUCUGCAGAAAAGGAGAUGUUGGAACAACAAUUCAGUAGUAAUAAUUAUUGGCAUGAAUAACUCCAUUUUUUAGUCACCUAGAAGACUGUGAAUGAACAAUAUACAUCAAAUAGCCACAUAUGGCAAAAAGGUCCUAAGUUGGAAGAGAAAGAUACCAGGAAAAAAAGGGAAAUCUACUAGAUGUAAUCAAUCAUACUCCAACGUUUUAAGCAAACACCAGAAACACUAUUUCAAUGUGUUUUAUCAAAGAUGUUGUGCUUUAAAAUGAAUUUUCAAUAUAAGUAUGAGUUUUCAGGCAUUAAUAAGAUAGUGAUGGAGUAAUUUAGAGUGUUUGAAAUAUUAAAAUGAAUAAAGCAAUUAUAUCAGCAUCCCUUAUUAAAGAUUCCCAGACUGAACUAUAGAACAUUUAAGUAAGCAAAUCACAGUCUACUGAUGAGUCACAGGGGUUUCUCUGGUCCAUUCAUUUUAGUCCUAAGUGGUACUAUUGUUAGAGCUAAAACUAUUUAAGUCUGCUUUCAUGCAAAUCAUAUGCAGAGCACAGAUUUUAGUUUGACUUUAGACCAAGGUAUUUGGCGGGAAAUUACUAGAGUGGUUUUUCUAGUUAACACAUUUACUAAUGUUUCCUUAAUUUUUCCACCCCAACAGGCAAUAAUUAAGGUGGAAUUUGCCUCACAUGAAGUUUUAUUAUUUUAGUCAUUAAAAUAUUUUCCAACACUACGGAGAAGCAAAAAGCAAUUUGCGUUGUUUUAAAAAAUAAGUAGACAUUUUCCUGAGUUUUUAUAGCUUUUCCUCAGUGAAUGGUAUUAUAAUGAGAGUAGUUGGGUAGACUUUCUGGUGUAGGCCCUUGAGCAUGAUACUUAAGGGUAGAUUUACUUGAGGGAAAAAUUUCAUUCACUCUUAAAAUUGGCUUUGAGAAUAAUCCAAAUGUAAACUUAAAAAACACACAUGGUACAGAAUGUAUCUUACAUAAAUACCCAUUCUCAAGUGGAAUAAUUUCAUUGCAUACUCUCUGGAUUGCAAAAUGCCUUUAAAAGUCUUUCUCAUAUCCUAUUCUCACAAGAGGUCUCAUUCUAGAUGAGAAAUACACUAAUCUUUUGAGACAAACGAAAUACUGCAAAUGAAUGUUAUAUAUUUAAGUAUACAGACCAACAGUAAAUUUAGAAAAUGUUGCCUCAUGAAAAUCUUAAACCAAAUACAGCUAAUAUUUUCAUGGUGAAAACAAGUGGUACAUUUGAUUGUAAAAUAAGACCAUUUCCCAAGUCAUAUUCAAAGCCACAUAAUGCCUUCUCAUACUGUCUUAUUUUCUCUUAGUUUGCAAAAUUACCAUAGAAGCUUAGGAAUUCUCAUGUGGUGGUGUAUUUAGUUUGUGGUUAUCCAGAUCUUUAUUCUUUUAUUCUCUUUCUUAGUUGGUACAUUAGCCCUUUUACCAAAGAAGCAGGGAAGGAAUGGGGCUUAUUUCUAAAUUUCAUAUUCACUUACACAUUUAAAAAGAGUAUACCUUUUCCUGUUUUCAGGUUUAAAUUAAUUCCUACUGGGAGAAAAAGUUGACUUUAUCAAUAUUUGGAACUUUACAUGUCUCUAAGCAACUGAAGUUA
This is an RNA transcript of Sapajus apella (tufted capuchin), 6886 nucleotides long. It is a transcript of the gene named phosphatidylinositol glycan anchor biosynthesis class C, with no coding region annotated. The record is from RefSeq and is a predicted model, not a curated record. NCBI's taxonomy places the organism in Eukaryota, Metazoa, Chordata, Mammalia, Primates, Cebidae. The transcript is spliced from 2 exons.